This 119-nucleotide ribosomal RNA is filed under the name Salmo salar (Atlantic salmon). The record is from RNAcentral. Lineage: Eukaryota; Metazoa; Chordata; Actinopteri; Salmoniformes; Salmonidae.
GCUUACGGCCAUAUCAGCCUGGGUACGCCCGAUCUCGUCUGAUCUCGGAAGCUAAGCAGGGUCGGGCCUGGUUAGUACUUGGAUGGGAGACCGCCUGUGAAUACCAGGUGCUGUAAGCA